UGGGGAAUUUUGGACAAUGGGGGAAACCCUGAUCCAGCCAUCCCGCGUGUGCGAUGAAGGCCUUCGGGUUGUAAAGCACUUUUGGCAGGAAAGAAACGUCAUGGGUUAAUACCCCGUGAAACUGACGGUACCUGCAGAAUAAGCACCGGCUAACUACGUGCCAGCAGCCGCGGUAAUACGUAGGGUGCAAGCGUUAAUCGGAAUUACUGGGCGUAAAGCGUGCGCAGGCGGUUCGGAAAGAAAGAUGUGAAAUCCCAGAGCUCAACUUUGGAACUGCAUUUUUAAGUACCGGGCGAGAGUGUGUCAGAGGGGGGUGGAAUUCCGCGUGUAGCAGUGAAAUGCGUAGAUAUGCGGAGGAACACCGAUGGCGAAGGCAGCCUCCUGGGAUAACACUGACGCUCAUGCACGAAAGCGUGGGGAGCAAACAGG
This 429-nucleotide ribosomal RNA is filed under the name Acidobacteriota bacterium. RNAcentral describes it as "Acidobacteria bacterium partial 16S ribosomal RNA". It matches the Rfam family "Bacterial small subunit ribosomal RNA", at positions 355 to 776 of the family's 1533-position model. The record is from RNAcentral. Lineage: Bacteria; Pseudomonadati; Acidobacteriota.